GGCAGGGCGGGGGCGCAGGCCACGCGGGGGCGCAGGGCGCGAGGGUGCGGCGCAGGCUGGGGUCCCGGCGGCGGGUCCUCGCGGCCGGUGCCGGCUCGUCUGGGACGCACGGGGCCGCGCCGCCAGAGGGCGUGCGCACCUCCCUUUCGCGCUCCGCAAGCCGAACUGCUUUGUACCGGGCAGGCGUCGGGGAUCGUUUUUGCUUUGGUAUCGGUGAUGUAAAUUCAUGAAUUAAAAUUAAGGAUUUUGAAAAGAACGGGGAAGAACGCACUUGGAUUUAGGUUGUUUUUGAAAAGGAAAAACCAAAGAGGAAAUGAUACGUUUGCAGGAGCAUUAACUGACUACUGACUGGAACAUUGGAUGCGGGUGCUUUGUGAAGAUUUGUACUCCAAAAACUUUUUUUAAAAAUUGCACGUUGGUAAAUAUUGAGUGUUUUCGAGUAAAAUCUAACAGUAUGUAUUUAGUGCCCUUAUUGCGGAAAUUUCUUAAAUGUAAGUAAUAGUAAGUCCGCCAUUUUGAAUUGUUUCAUGUAACACAGAAUGAAAUCUUAGGUGCCUGUGUUUCCUUGAGUUCCCUUCAGUUCUUUGUGGGUUUGUUUUCAUCCGUAGGUUUUUAAGGUUGCCAAGUGUCACUGUUCAUGGAACUAAAUUCUCCACUGUAGAUUUUUAUACCUAUUAUUGUUAAUGCAAGGGGAAAAUAAAUUAUACUCCUAUUCUAUUGUAGUUUUUUAUUUAUCGAUCACAAAUACUGUGGAAGUGAAAAUUACACCUGACAACUAGUAUUAGAAUGAAUUUAAAACGUUUUACAACAUUGCUGGGAAAAUAUGACUUAAAGUGAUUUUUAAUCAAGAAAAUAUUAAUGUUUCUUUUUUUGGUGCUGGUUAUUACCAUAUUUACUUAGAUAAUGCAAAAGUGCUUUUUUAAAAAGCACAUUUUUAC
This 938-nucleotide long non-coding RNA is filed under the name Homo sapiens (human). Its description in RNAcentral is "long non-coding RNA NONHSAT207767.1". The record is from RNAcentral. Lineage: Eukaryota; Metazoa; Chordata; Mammalia; Primates; Hominidae.